This is a long non-coding RNA of Dermacentor silvarum, 1086 nucleotides long. RefSeq lists it as uncharacterized. The record is from RefSeq and is a predicted model, not a curated record. Lineage: Eukaryota; Metazoa; Arthropoda; Arachnida; Ixodida; Ixodidae. The transcript is spliced from 3 exons.
CCGGUAGCAAGUUGCGCCCCCACGCCGCUCUCGAUCGUCGGGAUCGUGGCUCUUCUUCCUGGCAAGCUGCCCCGCCGCUUUCGCGCUCGACUGCUCCGUCGUCGAGGAGAGGGAGCGAAUCACGCCCGGCACCACCCAAACAGGACCGCGUCGAUCGGCAGCUGCAAUGGUGCACCUCCUCGCCCGCACAUCGGCGGCGGGGAUGCACCUGGACCUCUCACACCGCCGCGGGAAGGCGAGGGCUUGUUACCAGCGCGGCUUCAGCGUGCCAUGUGUACUUCGCGAAAGCGUCGCCGACGCGACCGCGGUUCCACCGGCGUUGAUCGCUCCACUGCCUAGCGUCCUCGGAGCCUCUCGACUGCGAUACCGCGCCGGAGUGCGAAGCGCGCGUUUCAAAACCCAUCUCUCGAGGCGACGGUCGUGCCCGCUACAGGACACCUCACGGCGAAGAAGCUCGUGCCAACUCUACUCGUCCACUACAGCAGCAGAAGCAGCGCUGUCUGCGGAAUGGCAGCGUUCGCAGGUGGACUCUCCGGCUAGACCGCGCGCAGCCUCUGGUCAUGCGUCGCGAGGCGUCAUCGGCGUCCCAUCAUGAUCGACCCCAAGGUGUUCGUCGCACUGCUCGUGCUCUCCACGGCGUUCAUCGUUGCCGCCAUCGUGGGCGCAGUUUGCUGUCUGUGUCGUGUCCUCAAGAAGGACUCUCGCAGGAGGCUCAAGGACGACUAUGUCAUUGUACUUGACGGAACGGAACCGCCGCCUCCGUAUACUUGGAGGAGUGUCCGCUCGGAUGGACGUCGUCAAUAAAUAGUCUUCUCUUCGCCAUGGGGACUCCCAAAAAAAGCUGGAAGUCUCUGAGAUCAUCGGGAGCUGCUUGCACAUCCAGGUGGCACCGUUUUACCAGCGAAUCGCACCCAGGUUGCUCUCAGCCCACUUUGUCGCAACGGCAUGCAUCGCAAGUCACUGAAGAUGGCCUCCCACAGCUGCACGCUUUCCAAUCGUUCCCACACAAUCGCAGUUCACGGGGCUGUCUGCCCGCAUGUUCAUAAGCAGUAAAACUAUUUGCGACGCAAACAAACUCUCUGCUGU